This 80-nucleotide transfer RNA is filed under the name Symploca sp. SIO1B1. RNAcentral's name for it is "tRNA-Leu". It matches the Rfam family "tRNA". Rfam says of the family: Transfer RNA (tRNA) molecules are approximately 80 nucleotides in length. Their secondary structure includes four short double-helical elements and three loops (D, anti-codon, and T loops). The record is from RNAcentral. RNAcentral also lists the same sequence under 2 other names. Lineage: Bacteria; Bacillati; Cyanobacteriota; Cyanophyceae; Coleofasciculales; Coleofasciculaceae.
GCUCCUGUGGCGGAAUUGGCAGACGCGGCAGACUUAAAAUCUGUUUUUUAUUUUUGUGGGUUCGACUCCCACCAGGAGUA